This 242-nucleotide long non-coding RNA is filed under the name Elaeis guineensis (African oil palm). RNAcentral's name for it is "long non-coding RNA (EGUI_LNC022245)". The record is from RNAcentral. Lineage: Eukaryota; Viridiplantae; Streptophyta; Magnoliopsida; Arecales; Arecaceae.
GAUGAUAUAAAUCUAUGUAGAUGGGUUUUCCGGUUAUGAACAUGGCCUGCCUUGCUUAUUCGAAUAAUGGUCAUCCCACAUUAGAGUUACGACGUAAACCACAGGGUCCAAAACCAUCUUCCAAACAGAGCACAGCCCAUUCUUUCUUCUUCUAUUUUCCAAAACGACUGACCUGAUACAUAAUGGCAACAACAUAACCAUACCAUGCAACUUUUAUUAAAAGACUUGAAAUAUUCCUAUCA